RNAcentral lists this ribosomal RNA (492 nucleotides) under uncultured bacterium. RNAcentral's name for it is "partial 16S ribosomal RNA". It matches the Rfam family "Bacterial small subunit ribosomal RNA", at positions 29 to 507 of the family's 1533-position model. The record is from RNAcentral.
AGUGAACGCUGGCGGUAGGCCUAACACAUGCAAGUCGAACGGCAGCACAGUAAGAGCUUGCUCUUACGGGUGGCGAGUGGCGGACGGGUGAGGAAUACAUCGGAAUCUACUUUUUCGUGGGGGAUAACGUAGGGAAACUUACGCUAAUACCGCAUACGACCUACGGGUGAAAGCAGGGGAUCUUCGGACCUUGCGCGAUUGAAUGAGCCGAUGUCGGAUUAGCUAGUUGGCGGGGUAAAGGCCCACCAAGGCGACGAUCCGUAGCUGGUCUGAGAGGAUGAUCAGCCACACUGGAACUGAGACACGGUCCAGACUCCUACGGGAGGCAGCAGUAGGGAAUAUUGGACAAUGGGCGCAAGCCUGAUCCAGCCAUACCGCGUUGGUGAAGAAGGCCUUCGGGUUGUAAAGCCCUUUUGUUGGGAAAGAAAAGCAGCAGGUUAAUACCCCGCUGUUCUGACGGUACCCAAAGAAUAAGCACCGGCUAACUUCGUG